RNAcentral lists this ribosomal RNA (464 nucleotides) under Vreelandella stevensii. RNAcentral describes it as "partial 16S ribosomal RNA". It matches the Rfam family "Bacterial small subunit ribosomal RNA", at positions 338 to 795 of the family's 1533-position model. The record is from RNAcentral. Lineage: Bacteria; Pseudomonadati; Pseudomonadota; Gammaproteobacteria; Oceanospirillales; Halomonadaceae.
CCUAGGGUGGCAGCAGUGGGGAAUAUUGGACAAUGGGCGAAAGCCUGAUCCAGCCAUGCCGCGUGUGUGAAGAAGGCCUUCGGGUUGUAAAGCACUUUCAGUGGGGAAGAAAGCCUUGGGGCUAAUACCCUCGAGGGAGGACAUCACCCACAGAAGAAGCACCGGCUAACUCCGUGCCAGCAGCCGCGGUAAUACGGAGGGUGCGAGCGUUAAUCGGAAUUACUGGGCGUAAAGCGCGCGUAGGCGGUCUGAUAAGCCGGUUGUGAAAGCCCCGGGCUCAACCUGGGAACGGCAUCCGGAACUGUCAGGCUAGAGUGCAGGAGAGGAAGGUAGAAUUCCCGGUGUAGCGGUGAAAUGCGUAGAGAUCGGGAGGAAUACCAGUGGCGAAGGCGGCCUUCUGGACUGACACUGACGCUGAGGUGCGAAAGCGUGGGUAGCAAACAGGAUUAGAUACCCGAGUAGUC